Molecule: ribosomal RNA, 433 nt
Filed under: uncultured bacterium
Lineage: Bacteria
Description: partial 16S ribosomal RNA
Rfam family: Bacterial small subunit ribosomal RNA
Source: RNAcentral
AACGAACGCUGGCGGCAUGCCUAACACAUGCAAGUCGAACGAGCCCUUCGGGUCUAGUGGCGCACCGGUGCGUAACGCGUGGGAACCUGCCCUUAGGUUCGGAAUAACUCCCCGAAAGGGGUGCUAAUACCGGAUAAUGUCUUCGGACCAAAGAUUUAUCGCCUUUGGAUGGGCCCGCGUUGGAUUAGCUAGUUGGUAGGGUAAAAGCCUACCAAGGCGACGAUCCAUAGCUGGUCUGAGAGGAUGAUCAGCCACACUGGGACUGAGACACGGCCCAGACUCCUACGGGAGGCAGCAGUGGGGAAUAUUGGACAAUGGGCGAAAGCCUGAUCCAUCAAUGCCGCGUGAGUGAUGAAGGCCUUAGGGUUGUAAAGCUCUUUUACCCGGGAUGAUAAUGACAGUACCGGGAGAAUAAGCUCCGGCUAACUCCGUG